GACGAACGCUGGCGGCGUGCUUAACACAUGCAAGUCGAACGGAAAGGCCCUGCUUUUGUGUGGUGCUCGAGUGGCGAACGGGUGUGUAACACGUGAGUAACCUGCCCUUGACUUUGGGAUAACUUCAGGAAACUGGGGCUAAUACCGGAUAGGAGCUCCUGCUGCAUGGUGGGGGUUGGAAAGUUUCGGCGGUUGGGGAUGGACUCGCGGCUUAUCAGCUUGUUGGUGGGGUAGUGGCUUACCAAGCCUUUGACGGGUAGCCGGCCUGAGAGGGUGACCGGCCACAUUGGGACUGAGAUACGGCCCAGACUCCUACGGGAGGCAGCAGGGGGGAAUAUUGCACAAUGGGCGGAAGCCUGAUGCAGCAACGCCGCGUGCGGGAUGACGGCCUUCGGGUUGUAAACCGCUUUCGCCUGUGACGAAGCGUGAGUGACGGUAAUGGGUAAAGAAGCACCGGCUAACUACGUG
RNAcentral lists this ribosomal RNA (468 nucleotides) under uncultured bacterium. RNAcentral's name for it is "partial 16S ribosomal RNA". It matches the Rfam family "Bacterial small subunit ribosomal RNA", at positions 28 to 507 of the family's 1533-position model. The record is from RNAcentral.